GACGAACGCUGGCGGCGUGCCUAACACAUGCAAGUCGAGCGAACAGACCAGGAGUUUGCGCGUUUGACGUUAGCGGCGGAGGGGUGAGUCACACGUGUGUAACCUACCUAUCAGACUGGGAUAAUUACGGGAAACCGGAUCUUAUACCGGAAGAUAUAUCGCACCUCGUGGGUCGAUAGUGAAAUUUGGCUGUGCGAUCAGUAAUAGAUGGACCUGCGCCGGAUUCGCGAGUUGGUAAGGUAACGGCUUAUCAAGGCUAGGAUGCGUAGCCGACCUCAAAGGGUGGUCGCCCACAUGGGAAGUGAGGCACAGUCCAGACUCCUGCGGUAGGCAGCAGCCGAGAAUCUUACGCAAUGGAGGAGAGCGUGACAUAGCAAAGCGGCGGGAGUCAUGAUGGAGCCAGGACCGGAAAGCUAUGUUAGUAGUAGGGAUCAAAAGUGUAAGUACCCGUGAACAUAUUGACGGUACCGGGUCAAAAAGCCCCGGCUAACUACGUG
RNAcentral lists this ribosomal RNA (497 nucleotides) under uncultured bacterium. RNAcentral's name for it is "partial 16S ribosomal RNA". It matches the Rfam family "Bacterial small subunit ribosomal RNA", at positions 28 to 507 of the family's 1533-position model. The record is from RNAcentral.